RNAcentral lists this long non-coding RNA (767 nucleotides) under Vitis vinifera (wine grape). RNAcentral's name for it is "long non-coding RNA (VVIN_LNC007248)". Lineage: Eukaryota; Viridiplantae; Streptophyta; Magnoliopsida; Vitales; Vitaceae. The record is from RNAcentral.
ACUCAACUGAUUCCAAUAUCACCUAGAAGAAGAUUCCCGUCAUUCGCAAUGAUAAGAUCUUAGCUGCAAUGACAAUAUAGAAUAGGACUCUUGAGAGGUUUAAAGACUGCCAGCUUAAGAUACACAGAUCAACCCGGACCCCAGUCAAAGAAGAAGCCAAGUUUGAGAUUUGGAAGUCUCUAAGAAGAUAGCAAGACAUUAAGAACAGGAGUAGGGAGGUCAUGGAGGCUAUAUACCCUAUGCUCCAGGCAUUUAUCAAUUCCAUCUCUACCAAAGUCAUCUCAGAAACCUUCACUGUCUUGAAUAACUAGCAGUUCUCUGAUUCGGGUCAACUUUAUCCAUAACCUCGUCUUUAACCUGAGUCAUUCACAGCAGGUUCAUGGACAAUGCCCAUGUUCAAUGACCCAAUACUCCUACUGCAAUAUUCGAUGGCCUUUGGGUUCAAAAUAGUCAACGUGUCAGAUAGUCCCAUGCAAAAAUUGAUGGCCAAAGUAGUUAAUGAGAAUGCCGAGGACUUCAUUUCAAAUGAUCUACCUUAACUUCAUAAUGCAGAAGUCGUUUCUUGCAAGGACCAAUUGCCAUCAAUUGCCCAUCAGUAUCCCAACCGAGGUGGUGUGCUACUACGUUGAUGUGCUUGCACUAGUCGACAUAAAACCCCCAUAAGAUAAACGUCUGAGUUCCCCUCUGAAAUAUUCAAGCUGAACGGUGCACCUUUUGAUACCAGCAACUAUGUUGCUCAUGGGGGCUGCUUCAUUGAGCCAGAUAGA